GCGGCGGACGGGUGAGUAACACGUGGGCAACCUGCCCUGCAGACUGGGAUAACUUCGGGAAACCGGAGCUAAUACCGGAUAACACCGAAAACCGCAUGGUUUUCGGUUGAAAGGCGGCUUUUACCUGUCACUGCAGGAUGGGCCCGCGGCGCAUUAGCUAGUUGGUGAGGUAACGGCUCACCAAGGCGACGAUGCGUAGCCGACCUGAGAGGGUGACCGGCCACACUGGGACUGAGACACGGCCCAAACUCCUACGGGAGGCAGCAGUAGGGAAUCUUCCGCAAUGGACGAAAGUCUGACGGAGCAACGCCGCGUGAGCGAAGAAGGUCUUCGGAUCGUAAAGCUCUGUUGUCAGGGAAGAACAAGUACCGUUCGAACAGGGCGGUACCUUGACGGUACCUGACGAGGAAGCCACGGCUAACUACGUGCCAGCAGCCGCGGUAAUAC
RNAcentral lists this ribosomal RNA (447 nucleotides) under Aeribacillus sp. J04D029. Its description in RNAcentral is "bacterial SSU rRNA". It matches the Rfam family "Bacterial small subunit ribosomal RNA", at positions 95 to 526 of the family's 1533-position model. The record is from RNAcentral. Lineage: Bacteria; Bacillati; Bacillota; Bacilli; Caryophanales; Bacillaceae.